Molecule: ribosomal RNA, 264 nt
Filed under: uncultured bacterium
Lineage: Bacteria
Description: partial 16S ribosomal RNA
Rfam family: Bacterial small subunit ribosomal RNA
Source: RNAcentral
GUCCACGCCCUAAACGAUGUCAACUAGGUGUUGGGAGCGCAAGUUCUUGGUACCGCAGCUAACGCGUGAAGUUGACCGCCUGGGGAGUACGGUCGCAAGAUUAAAACUCAAAGGAAUUGACGGGGACCCGCACAAGCGGUGGAUGAUGUGGAUUAAUUCGAUGCAACGCGAACAACCUUACCUACCCUUGACAUGUCCAGGAGUCGGCUGAAAGGUCGAUGUGCCCGAAAGGGAAUUGGAACACAGGUGCUGCAUGGCUGUCGU